CAAGACCUUGCGCUUUUGGAGCGGCCGAUGUCUGAUUAGCUAGUUGGUGGGGUAAAGGCUUACCAAGGCUUCGAUCAGUAGCUGGUCUGAGAGGACGACCAGCCACACUGGGACUGAGACACGGCCCAGACUCCUACGGGAGGCAGCAGUGGGGAAUUUUGGACAAUGGGGGAAACCCUGAUCCAGCCAUGCCGCGUGAGUGAAGAAGGCCUUCGGGUUGUAAAGCUCUUUCAGCCGGAACGAAAAGGUCAUGGCUAAUACCCGUGACAAAUGACGGUACCGGAAGAAGAAGCACCGGCUGACUACGUGCCAGCAGCCGCGGUAAUACGUAGGGUGCAAGCGUUAAUCGGAAUUACUGGGCGUAAAGCGUGCGCAGGCGGUUUUGUAAGUCAGAUGUGAAAUCCCCGGGCUUAACCUGGGAACU
Molecule: ribosomal RNA, 424 nt
Filed under: uncultured Nitrosospira sp.
Lineage: Bacteria; Pseudomonadati; Pseudomonadota; Betaproteobacteria; Nitrosomonadales; Nitrosomonadaceae
Description: bacterial SSU rRNA
Rfam family: Bacterial small subunit ribosomal RNA
Source: RNAcentral